AGCCAGGUGGUGUAGUGGUUUGAGUGUUGGACUAGGACUCUGGGGACCAGGGUUCAAAUCCCCACUUGGCCA
This is a non-coding RNA of Phrynosoma platyrhinos (Desert horned lizard), 72 nucleotides long. Lineage: Eukaryota; Metazoa; Chordata; Lepidosauria; Squamata; Phrynosomatidae. The record is from the annotation of a GenBank genome assembly.